GACGAACGCUGGCGGCGUGCUUAACACAUGCAAGUCGAACGGAAAGGCCCUGCUUUUGUGGGGUGCUCGAGUGGCGAACGGGUGAGUAACACGUGAGUAACCUGCCCUUGACUUUGGGAUAACUUCAGGAAACUGGGGCUAAUACCGGAUAGGAGCUCCUGCUGCAUGGUGGGGGUUGGAAAGUUUCGGCGGUUGGGGAUGGACUCGCGGCUUAUCAGCUUGUUGGUGGGGUAGUGGCUUACCAAGGCUUUGACGGGUAGCCGGCCUGAGAGGGUGACCGGCUACAUGGGGAUUGGGGAACGGCCCGGACGCCUACGGGGGGAAGGGGGGGGGAAAUUUGCAAAAGGGGGGGAAGGCUGAUGGAGCAACGCCGGGUGGGGGAGGACGGCCUUCGGGUGGGAAACGGCUUUCGCUGGGAACGAGGGGUGGGGAAGGGUAAUGGUGAAAAAAGCACCAGCAAACUACGG
RNAcentral lists this ribosomal RNA (467 nucleotides) under uncultured bacterium. Its description in RNAcentral is "partial 16S ribosomal RNA". It matches the Rfam family "Bacterial small subunit ribosomal RNA", at positions 28 to 506 of the family's 1533-position model. The record is from RNAcentral.